UUGUCUUGUCCACAGUUUAAAUGGAAUCCC
Molecule: non-coding RNA, 30 nt
Filed under: Homo sapiens (human)
Lineage: Eukaryota; Metazoa; Chordata; Mammalia; Primates; Hominidae
Source: RNAcentral